UUGCAGGGAGUGGAGCAGGAGGGCGGCUCUUGUCGCGACUCGUCAGAGAGUGGUGGAGCUGCAUGGAAUCCAUUGCAGGGAGUGGAGCAGGAGGGUGGCUCUUGUCGCGACUUGUCAGAGAGCCCUGAUCCAUCGGCUGGAGCUCAGCUGGGACAUCUGAUGGAGCAGAAUGUCUCUCUAUUGUUGAUCUGGGAGAAGCUCGGAUGUCUCCGAAGCUGCUGACG
RNAcentral lists this long non-coding RNA (224 nucleotides) under Elaeis guineensis (African oil palm). RNAcentral describes it as "long non-coding RNA (EGUI_LNC045477)". Lineage: Eukaryota; Viridiplantae; Streptophyta; Magnoliopsida; Arecales; Arecaceae. The record is from RNAcentral.